CCGCUCACCGAUUGGACGACUUCCGGUUGGCGUCGAGUUCGCGCUUGCGCAGCAGGAAGCCCUCGUGCUGCACUGUAAUGUAAGCAACACAAGAGCAAGGACCUGGCCUUGUUCACCGUCUGGCACAGAGAAAGCCUUCAAUAAAGAUUUGCUGAGUAAAUGAAGUGGUUCCGGCAAAUGAUUCCCGGGCUGAGUGAUAGAAGGACCCUGGGUCCCAAUCACCAUGGGAUGGGCUCCUGCUGGACACCCACACUGAACCAUGAGGUGACAAUAAAUCAGCACCUACUUCAAGUCACCGAGAUGCUGGGAUGGUCUGUUACAGUUGGUUGCCUACCCUGACAAAUACCAACCCCUAGCCUGCUUUUAGCCUGUCCUCUGCCCCCAAGACCAGGUCUGACAGCACUCGAGACAGUGCCAGGCACACAGAGGGGCUGGCUGUCAUGAUUUCUUAGGGGAAGGGGGCUGUUGAUGGGCUGGCGGCUUCCCGGACGCAGGUAGGAAGCCCGAGGUGGGAUGAGGGGCACCUGGGCUUGUCAGCCGCCCCAAUCUGGCUGGCGAUGCCGUCCAUCCAGGAGAGCAGGUCGCGGGCCUGGCUGUGGAAGUGCAGGGCGUCGGCCGUGGAACUGACGUGCAGGCGGGCAUCCUCACAGGCUGCCAGCAGCUCCUUCCAGCCCUGCAGCACCUCGUGCUCCCGGCUGGCGAUGGCCUCUGCAUGCUCCCCCGCGUACACCGUCCGCAGCUGGGCUGCCCCCUCCUGCAGCUGCCGCACCUGAGGGGCGUACCAGGUCGGGAGCCCACCCUCCAGGGGGCCCGGGCUCCACCUGCUCUUUCUCCCUGCUGCUGGCUGGGUGCAGGGC
Choloepus didactylus (southern two-toed sloth) is the source of this 857-nucleotide long non-coding RNA. RefSeq lists it as uncharacterized. The record is from RefSeq and is a predicted model, not a curated record. The transcript is spliced from 3 exons. Lineage: Eukaryota; Metazoa; Chordata; Mammalia; Pilosa; Megalonychidae.